UGCUGUACGUUGGGACUAGAUGUGGGGACCAUUCCACGGUCUCCGUGUCGUAGCUAACGCAUUAAGUUCCCCGCCUGGGGAGUACGGCCGCAAGGCUAAAACUCAAAGGAAUUGACGGGGGCCCGCACAAGCGGCGGAGCAUGCGGAUUAAUUCGAUGCAACGCGAAGAACCUUACCAAGGCUUGACAUAUACGAGAACGCGCUGGAGACAGCGAACUCUUUGGACACUCGUAUACAGGUGGUGCAUGGUUGUCGUCAGCUCGUGUCGUGAGAUGUUGGGUUAAGUCCCGCAACGAGCGCAACCCUCGUCCUAUGUUGCCAGCACGUCAUGGUGGGAACUCAUGGGAUACUGCCGGGGUCAACUCGGAGGAAGGUGGGGAUGAGGUCAAAUCAUCAUGCCCCUUAUGUCUUGGGCUUCACGCAUGCUACAAUGGCCGGUACAAUGGGCUGCGAUACCGCAAGGUGGAGCGAAUCCCAAAAAGCCGGUCUCAGUUCGGAUUGAGGUCUGCAACUCGACCUCAUGAAGUCGGAGUCGCUAGUAAUCGCAGAUCAGCAACGCUGCGGUGAAUACGUUCCCGGGCCUUGUACACACCGCCCGUCAAGUCAUGAAAGUCGGUAACACCCGAAGCCGGUGGCCUAACCUUUUGGAGGGAGCCGUCGAAGGUGGGAUCGGUGAUUAGGACUAAGUCGUACAAAGGGGUAAACCA
RNAcentral lists this ribosomal RNA (707 nucleotides) under Agrococcus sp. RNAcentral describes it as "bacterial SSU rRNA". It matches the Rfam family "Bacterial small subunit ribosomal RNA", at positions 798 to 1513 of the family's 1533-position model. The record is from RNAcentral. Lineage: Bacteria; Bacillati; Actinomycetota; Actinomycetes; Micrococcales; Microbacteriaceae.